GCAGAGGCAAUAAAUUAAACAGAAAAAGGAUUAAUUAAAAGAAAAGAAAGAGAGAUAAACUCCAGUCUCUUCACAGUAGAAGGGAUUAUAGUUCUAAGUUUCUCAAGGCUCCAGGAGGAGGUGACAUUUGUCUGCAUAUCCCCACGUUCCUCCUUCUCGGUUUCUAUAAAUACAGCUGCUUUCUACUCUACUUUUCCCCACCAUUUUUUCUCAGACUUUGAAGCUCUCUGACUUUGUUUCACGGUUAAAAGUAUGGAAGAAUCUGUUAAGCUCAGGAGGGAUAGCGCCAUGGAUGAAUUAACAAUCGAUCACACAUGCCUCUUUCUUCUUGGGUUUUGAUGAUCCCCCUAUAGCGCUAUCCAUCCUGAGUUUCAUCGGUUCUUCUUGCUCUGUAUCUCUCUCGGUUGCUUGCUUCGCCAUUUCCAGGUUCUUUCAAAAGUUUGCAUAUGGUUUAAUGGGGAUGUGCCAGCUGAUCCUUCUCAGCCUCUUCUCUUCUUCUUGAGAAAAAUAAUAAAAAUAUGGGGAAAAAAUCUUUAAAUAAUGAUAUGAUUUAUUUUCAGUGGACCAUAAUGAGUAUGAACAACAUUAUUAGCUUUUUCUUUACAUUAGAUACAUGUUCCCUGUUCAUGCAACCUUGAAAUCUCUGGGAAUCACUGAUUUUUCUUUUUCUUGAUU
Long non-coding RNA from Hevea brasiliensis (rubber tree), 675 nucleotides. RefSeq lists it as uncharacterized. NCBI's taxonomy places the organism in Eukaryota, Viridiplantae, Streptophyta, Magnoliopsida, Malpighiales, Euphorbiaceae. The record is from RefSeq and is a predicted model, not a curated record. The transcript is spliced from 2 exons.